Molecule: long non-coding RNA, 586 nt
Filed under: Volvox carteri
Lineage: Eukaryota; Viridiplantae; Chlorophyta; Chlorophyceae; Chlamydomonadales; Volvocaceae
Description: long non-coding RNA (VCAR_LNC000901)
Source: RNAcentral
GCCUCGCAUCCCAUAACGCAGUUUCGGAGCCCCGGGUUCGAUGUUCAUGCCCCAAGCGCGGCUGUAAAGGCGGCCGAGGAGGCACUCCUAGCUGCCAUACGCCGCCGCCUUUGCGACGAUGCAUCGCGAGAUGAGGAGCCAUAUGAACCUGCCUCCGCUGCCUCCAUCAAUCCACAACUAACGCUGCCGCGUCCUCCACCGGCUAUGGCUGCCGCUGGAGCUGGAGCUGGAGCACCUACAGCAGCAGCAGCGGGAGUAGCAUCCAUGACAACAGCGGACUCAGAAGAUGGAUGGUCCAGUCGCCGUGAUUGCCGCGACCCGAAUCAAGUGCACUCGGUGGGCAAUCGAUUACAUUCGAGAUUUUCAAAAUGCGGGGUCGUACGGCUAAUAAAUGUCGUGGAUCCGGAGCCCCCCGCGAGUGCCAAGCCGCCGCCGGCAGCAGGCGUGGCCGCCGCCGCCACCAGCCCAACCACAAGAGUACCACUUCCCAACAAAUGCAAAGAAUCCGUACCACAACCGCUUUCCUGCCGUACCCGGGUUGCUGGCGGCCGUCGGCAUGAUGCCGGGGACAAAGGCCUCGAUGCCG